CCUACGGGAGGCAGCAGUGGGGAAUAUUGCACAAUGGGGGGAACCCUGAUGCAGCGACGCCGCGUGAGUGAAGAAGUAUUUCGGUAUGUAAAGCUCUGUCAGCAGGGAAGAAGAAAGACGGUACCUGACCAAGAAGCCCCGGCUAACUACGUGCCAGCAGCCGCGGUAAUACGUAGGGGGCAAGCGUUAUCCGGAUUAAAUGGGUGUAAAGGGAGCGUAGACGGCAGGGCAAGUCUGGAGUGAAAGGCCGGGGCCCAACCCCUGGACUGCUCUGGAAACUGUCCGGCUGGAGGGCAGGAGUGGUAAGUGGAAUUCCUAGUGUAGCGGUGAAAUGCGUAGAUAUUAGGAGGAACACCAGUGGCGAAGGCGGCUUACUGGACUGUAACUGACGUUGAGGCUCGAAAGCGUGGGGAGCAAACAGGAUUAGAUACCCGUGUAGUC
Molecule: ribosomal RNA, 441 nt
Filed under: uncultured bacterium
Lineage: Bacteria
Description: partial 16S ribosomal RNA
Rfam family: Bacterial small subunit ribosomal RNA
Source: RNAcentral